This 1365-nucleotide long non-coding RNA is filed under the name Homo sapiens (human). RNAcentral describes it as "non-protein coding lnc-CFAP100-2:3". The record is from RNAcentral. Lineage: Eukaryota; Metazoa; Chordata; Mammalia; Primates; Hominidae.
GGGAGGAACCAAGGUUUCUCCUCCAGCCCAGGGAGCCAGGGGCUGGCAUUCUGUGUCCAGGACUUCGGGCCCUCUGUGAGCCUCUGUCCGCCAAGGCGAUGGAGCUGUGUUUGGAGUCCCUCGUCUUUGGCAGCGGCUGGGGCCAAAGCCCGGGCAAGACCAACGCCUUCGGCACCCGGACUCAGGCUCCGUCCUCUCUGCCAGCGUGCGGCUACAAUGACUCGACAUGGCAGGCCACUGCCUUCAGAGAAGGUGACAGAGGGCCAUGUCUGAAACAUUCUCCCACAACCAGGAACCCUCAGCAGCCGCUGAAGAGGAAAGGCAGUUAAAUGGAAAGACUUCUGAGCAAGUGGAGGAAAAGUCACGUGUGACCUAGGGAGGGGCUCCCACAGGAAGGGGCAAUGCCCUUGCCCUGUUCACCUAGCCUCCAGGUGGCUUCCCACUUGAAAUUUCAGAGGAUGGCAGAAACCUACUUACAAGGAAAUGAAAGAGGGCACAGCAACCUUAAGACCAGAGCAGCCCACGAUAUUUUUUAAUGAGGGCAAAAAUAGAAGACUUGCAAAAGACCCCUGAAAAUAAUGCCUGGAAGCUGCGAAACAUCAGACUGACACCGCACAAAAGAGGUCCAGCUGAGCAGGAGAAAAGCUUGAGAAGCAUCCAGAACAAUGUAGGUGGAGAGGCUAAGAAGAAAGAGGAGCCCACAUGGAAUGAAUAACCAAGGUCGGGACAGAGGAAGGUUCGCCAGAACUGGGAGGGCUGAAAUUGGACAUUGAGAUAAAUUAAAGAGUGUUCUUUAAAACUGUCAAGACUUUGGCUGGUCAAUAAGUAAACUGCAAACGAGUGUUCCUAAACCACAGCAGCAAUGCUCCCUGGAGGAGGGAAGGAGGCCGGGGCUGCCACUCUCCCAGGUGGCUGCGUCCCGGCCUUUGCCAUUGAUGUGUGCUUUCUCCAGGCUCACAGAUGUCCCUGGGCCGGUUGCAUCUGUGACCAGGACUCUGCCACCUGCCUGUGGCUUGCUGAUCAGCUGGUCACCCAGGAAUGUUAGGGAUGAACAGAGACCUAGAACUCAGGCUCCAUGGAUCUGGCAGCACCAGGAGACGAGGUUUCAAAUCUCAUGGCUGGGCCAGCCAGCCAGGUGCCCUGGAACUGUUGUGAUCCCUGCUCCUUGCCGGGCUUAGCCUCCUCUUACUUCAGCCCAGAAGUCCCCGAGUACCCACUCAACAAAUGCCAUCCCUUUAAUUUCUGUGGCCUGCUGCCAUCACGGCUCGCCUAAUUCAUUCCCUCCACACCCUAAGUGUCCACGGAAGUGGCUGAAACAGUAAAACCACAGAGGAGCAUUCAUUCCAGUCCCCAAGGCAAGCCCCC